CCCUUGGCCUUGACAUACUAAGAACUUUCCAGAGAUGGAUUGGUGCCUUCGGGAACUUAGAUACAGGUGUUGCAUGGCUGUCGUCAGCUCGUGUCGUGAGAUGUUGGGUUAAGUCCCGNAACGAGCGCAACCCUUUUCCUUAUUUGCCAGCGGGUCAUGCCGGGAACUUUAAGGAUACUGCCAGUGACAAACUGGAGGAAGGCGGGGACGACGUCAAGUCAUCAUGGCCCUUACGGCCAGGGCUACACACGUGCUACAAUGGUCGGUACAAAGGGUUGCUACCUCGCGAGAGGAUGCUAAUCUCAAAAAGCCGAUCGUAGUCCGGAUCGCAGUCUGCAACUCGACUGCGUGAAGUCGGAAUCGCUAGUAAUCGCGGAUCAGAAUGCCGCGGUGAAUACGUUCCCGGGCCUUGUACACACCGCCCGUCACACCAUGGGAGUUUGUUGCACCAGAAGUAGGUAGUCUAACCGCAAGGAGGACGCUUACCACGGUGUGGCCGAUGACUGGGGUGAAGUCGUAACAAGGUAAGCGUAGAUGA
This 538-nucleotide ribosomal RNA is filed under the name uncultured bacterium. RNAcentral's name for it is "bacterial SSU rRNA". It matches the Rfam family "Bacterial small subunit ribosomal RNA", at positions 972 to 1509 of the family's 1533-position model. The record is from RNAcentral.